This 301-nucleotide ribosomal RNA is filed under the name uncultured bacterium. RNAcentral's name for it is "partial 16S ribosomal RNA". It matches the Rfam family "Bacterial small subunit ribosomal RNA", at positions 512 to 808 of the family's 1533-position model. The record is from RNAcentral.
CAGUCCCGCGGGAAUACGAAGGGUGCAAGCGUUAAUCGGAAUUACUGGGCGUAAAGCGUGCGUAGGCGGUGAGUUAAGUCUGCUGUGAAAUCCCCGGGCUCAACCUGGGAAUGGCAGUGGAUACUGGCUCGCUAGAGUGUGUCAGAGGAUGGUGGAAUUCCCGGUGUAGCGGUGAAAUGCGUAGAGAUCGGGAGGAACAUCAGUGGCGAAGGCGGCCAUCUGGGACAACACUGACGCUGAGGCACGAAAGCGUGGGGAGCAAACAGGAUUAGAUACCCCAGUAGUCCCUGUCUCUUAUACA